Molecule: ribosomal RNA, 274 nt
Filed under: uncultured bacterium
Lineage: Bacteria
Description: partial 16S ribosomal RNA
Rfam family: Bacterial small subunit ribosomal RNA
Source: RNAcentral
AUACGAAGGGGGCAAGCGUUGUUCGGAAUAACUGGGCGUAAAGCGCACGUAGGCGGAAUGUUAAGUUAGAGGUGAAAUCCCAGGGCUCAACCCUGGAACGGCCUUUAAUCCUGGCAAUCUAGAGACCGAGAGAGGUGAGUGGAAUUCCGAGUGUAGAGGUGAAAUUCGUAGAUAUUCGGAGGAACACCAGUGGCGAAGGCGGCUCACUGGCUCGGUACUGACGCUGAGGUGCGAAAGCGUGGGGAGCAAACAGGAUUAGAUACCCUAGUAGUCC